UUAAGCGACUAAGCGUACACGGUGGAUGCCCUGGCAGUCAGAGGCGAUGAAGGACGUGCUAAUCUGCGAAAAGCGUCGGUAAGGUGAUAUGAACCGUUACAGCCGGCGAUGUCCGAAUGGGGAAACCCAGUGCAAUUCGUUGCACUAUCGUUAACUGAAUACAUAGGUUAACGAGGCGAACCGGGGGAACUGAAACAUCUAAGUACCCCGAGGAAAAGAAAUCAACCGAGAUUCCCCCAGUAGCGGCGAGCGAACGGGGAGCAGCCCAGAGUCUGAAUCAGCUUGUGUGUUAGUGGAACGGUCUGGAAAGUCCGACGGUACAGGGUGAUAGUCCCGUACACCAAAAUGCACAGGCUGUGAACUCGAAGAGUAGGGCGGGACACGUGGUAUCCUGUCUGAAUAUGGGGGGACCAUCCUCCAAGGCUAAAUACUCCUGACUGACCGAUAGUGAACCAGUACCGUGAGGGAAAGGCGAAAAGAACCCCGGCGAGGGGAGUGAAAAAGAACCUGAAACCGUGUACGUACAAGCAGUGGGAGCACCUUCGGGUGUGACUGCGUACCUUUUGUAUAAUGGGUCAGCGACUUAUAUUCUGUAGCAAGGUUAACCGUAUAGGGGAGCCGCAGGGAAACCGAGUCUUAACUGGGCGUUAAGUUGCAGGGUAUAGACCCGAAACCCGGUGAUCUAGCCAUGGGCAGGUUGAAGGUUGGGUAACACUAACUGGAGGACCGAACCGACUAAUGUUGAAAAAUUAGCGGAUGACUUGUGGCUGGGGGUGAAAGGCCAAUCAAACCGGGAGAUAGCUGGUUCUCCCCGAAAGCUAUUUAGGUAGCGCCUCGUGAACUCAUCUUCGGGGGUAGAGCACUGUUUCGGCUAGGGGGUCAUCCCGACUUACCAACCCGAUGCAAACUACGAAUACCGAAGAAUGUUAUCACGGGAGACACACGGCGGGUGCUAACGUCCGUCGUGAAGAGGGAAACAACCCAGACCGCCAGCUAAGGUCCCAAAGUCAUGGUUAAGUGGGAAACGAUGGGAAGGCACAGACAGCCGGAUGUUGGCUUAGAAGCAGCCAUCAUUUAAAGAAAGCGUAAUAGCUCACUGGUCGAGUCGGCCUGCGCGGAAGAUGUAACGGGGCUAAACCAUGCACCGAAGCUGCGGCAGCGACACUAUGUGUUGUUGGGUAGGGGAGCGUUCUGUAAGCCUGCGAAGGUGUGCUGUGAGGCAUGCUGGAGGUAUCAGAAGUGCGAAUGCUGACAUAAGUAACGAUAAAGCGGGUGAAAAGCCCGCUCGCCGGAAGACCAAGGGUUCCUGUCCAACGUUAAUCGGGGCAGGGUGAGUCGACCCCUAAGGCGAGGCCGAAAGGCGUAGUCGAUGGGAAACAGGUUAAUAUUCCUGUACUUGGUGUUACUGCGAAGGGGGGACGGAGAAGGCUAUGUUAGCCGGGCGACGGUUGUCCCGGUUUAAGCAUGUAGGCUGAUUGUCCAGGCAAAUCCGGAUAAUCAAGGCUGAGGUGUGAUGACGAGGCACUACGGUGCUGAAGUAACAAAUGCCCUGCUUCCAGGAAAAGCCUCUAAGCAUCAGGUAACAUCAAAUCGUACCCCAAACCGACACAGGUGGUCAGGUAGAGAAUACCAAGGCGCUUGAGAGAACUCGGGUGAAGGAACUAGGCAAAAUGGUGCCGUAACUUCGGGAGAAGGCACGCUGGUGUAGGUGAAGUCCCUGCGGAUGGAGCUGAGACCAGUCGAAGAUACCAGCUGGCUGCAACUGUUUAUUAAAACACAGCACUGUGCAAACACGAAAGUGGACGUAUACGGUGUGACGCCUGCCCGGUGCCGGAAGGUUAAUUGAUGGGGUUAUCCGUAAGGAGAAGCUCUUGAUCGAAGCCCGGUAAACGGCGGCCGUAACUAUAACGGUCCUAAGGUAGCGAAAUUCCUUGUCGGGUAAGUUCCGACCUGCACGAAUGGCGUAAUGAUGGCCAGGCUGUCUCCACCCGAGACUCAGUGAAAUUGAACUCGCUGUGAAGAUGCAGUGUACCCGCGGCAAGACGGAAAGACCCCGUGAACCUUUACUAUAGCUUGACACUGAACAUUGAGCCUUGAUGUGUAGGAUAGGUGGGAGGCUUUGAAGCGUGGACGCCAGUCUGCGUGGAGCCAACCUUGAAAUACCACCCUUUAAUGUUUGAUGUUCUAACGUUGGCCCCUGACCGGGGUUGCGGACAGUGUCUGGUGGGUAGUUUGACUGGGGCGGUCUCCUCCCAAAGCGUAACGGAGGAGCACGAAGGUUAGCUAAUCCUGGUCGGACAUCAGGAGGUUAGUGCAAUGGCAUAAGCUAGCUUGACUGCGAGCGUGACGGCGCGAGCAGGUGCGAAAGCAGGUCAUAGUGAUCCGGUGGUUCUGAAUGGAAGGGCCAUCGCUCAACGGAUAAAAGGUACCCGGGGAUAACAGGCUGAUACCGCCCAAGAGUUCAUAUCGACGGCGGUGUUUGGCACCUCGAUGUCGGCUCAUCACAUCCUGGGGCUGAAGUAGGUCCCAAGGGUAUGGCUGUUCGCCAUUUAAAGUGGUACGCGAGCUGGGUUUAGAACGUCGUGAGACAGUUCGGUCCCUAUCUGCCGUGGGCGCUGGAGAAUUGAGGGGGGCUGCUCCUAGUACGAGAGGACCGGAGUGGACGCAUCACUGGUGUUCGGGUUGUCAUGCCAAUGGCACUGCCCGGUAGCUAAAUGCGGAAGAGAUAAGUGCUGAAAGCAUCUAAGCACGAAACUUGCCCCGAGAUGAGUUCUCCCUGAGACUAUAAGUCUCCUGAAGGAACGUUGAAGACGACGACGUUGAUAGGCCGGGUGUGUAAGCGCAGCGAUGCGUUGAGCUAACCGGUACUAAUGAACCGUGAGGCUUAACCU
Molecule: ribosomal RNA, 2891 nt
Filed under: Klebsiella pneumoniae
Lineage: Bacteria; Pseudomonadati; Pseudomonadota; Gammaproteobacteria; Enterobacterales; Enterobacteriaceae
Description: bacterial LSU rRNA
Rfam family: Bacterial large subunit ribosomal RNA
Source: RNAcentral